UGCCUGGGGGGUGUUCAGGGCCGCCGGGCUGGCGCUGGCCGUGGGGGGCACCCAGGAGCCCCUGGGACCACGUGAGUGACGUGGGGACAUGGGGACGUGGGGACACGGAGGGACAUGGAGGGACAUGGACAUGAGGAGACAUGGGGGACAUGGAGGGAUGUGGGGAGACAUGAAGGGAAAUGGAGGGACAUGAGGGACAUGGACAUGGAGGACAUGGGACAUGAGGGACAUGGGGGACAUGGAGGACAUGGGGGGAUGUGAGGGGACAUGGAGGGACAUGGGUGGGACAUGGGGUACACAAGGGCACAUGGGGCUGGGCCUGGGUGUCCCAACUCCCCUGAGGACAUGUGGGUGGGACCAGGGGACAUGUGGGGACAGCGCGGGGCUAGGGGCUGGURUCCACGGGUCCCUGUGUCCCCACGUCCCCAUGUGCCCAGCGCCCCCAUGUCCCUCCGACCCCGCGCGGCGGCGGCGCUCGCUGGAGCUGCAGAAGCUCUUGGAGGAGGAGGGUGAGUGUCACCGUGUCAACACAUCCCCGUGUCACCACGUCCCCAUGUCACUGUGCCACUGUGCCCCUAUGUCACUGUGUCCCAGUACCACCACAGCCCCAUGUCACCGCACCCCCAUGUCACCACAUCACUGCACCCCCAAGCCACUGCAUCCCCAUGUCACCAUGUCCCCAUGCCACCACAUCGCCAUGUCACCGAAUCCCCAAGCCACCAUGUCCCUGUGCCACCAUGUCCCCAUGUCACUGCAUCGCUGUGCCACUGCAUCACUGUGCCACCACGUCACGGUGCCAUUAUGUCACCCUGUCAUCCUGCUUCUGCACCCCCAUGUCACCACCUGCCCAUGCCACCCCAUCCCCAGGCCACCGUGUCACUGCAACCCUGUGUCCCUGCAUGUCCCCACAUGUCCCCCCGACGCACAGUGACAGUGACAUUGCCGUGUCACAGCAGUGGGGCGGUGACAUGUCCCCACAUGUCCUUGUGGUGACAGCCCCAUGCUGUGUCCCCAUGCUGUGUCACCACAGUGGCAGUGCCAUUGCCAUGUCCCUGUGUGUCUCCAUGCCAUGUCCCUGCGGUGACAGGCCCCCUGCCAUGUCCCCGUGUGUCCCUGCCUGUCCUUGUGUGUCCCUGUGCUGUGUCUCCACGUGUCCCUGCAUGUCCCCAUCGUGUGUCCCUGUGUGUCCCUGUGCCAUGUCCCUGAAUGUCCCCAUGUGUCCCUGCAUGUCCCCAUACUGUGUCCCCAUGUGUCCCCAUGCCAUGUCCCUGUGUGUCCUCAUGUGUUCCUGUGCCAUGUCCCCAUGUGUCCCUGCAUAUCCCCAUACCGCAUC
This 1333-nucleotide long non-coding RNA is filed under the name Apteryx haastii (Great spotted kiwi). Its description in RNAcentral is "lncRNA (ENSAHAG00000009241.1)". The record is from RNAcentral. Lineage: Eukaryota; Metazoa; Chordata; Aves; Apterygiformes; Apterygidae.